Vicugna pacos (alpaca) is the source of this 919-nucleotide long non-coding RNA. RefSeq lists it as uncharacterized. The record is from RefSeq and is a predicted model, not a curated record. Lineage: Eukaryota; Metazoa; Chordata; Mammalia; Artiodactyla; Camelidae.
AAGAUCCACUUCACAGACGGGGUAGGAGAAUUUCAGGAUGGAUGAGCCUUUGGCGAAGAGAGCGACGUCCAGAAACAGCUCCUCGAUGUCCUCUCCUGGAGGGAAAGGGAAGACCAGCUUUCCUGUCAGUAGCAUUCACUGAGCUGCUGCUAUGGAACCCAGAUACUGUGCCGGGUCUGGAAUGAUGCAUGAGAGGUGUUGGCCUCCGGGAGUGGGCCCUCCGUUUCUCUAGAAUGACUCCACGUGUUCAGGCUUUUAAGUCCUUCUGCUCUGGCUCUGAUGCCACGGUGUUAGAAAGGGGAUCGUCUACGAGCCACAGCAACACACUGACUGUAACGGCACGACCGCACGGAAGCACACGAAAGCUCCAGUGGCUCGUUGACGCCUUGGAAGAAGAGUCAAGAAACGUUCUGCUGGCCCCACCUUCCGUACCGUACAUGCCAAGUCCAUCCUGGAGAUCUGGGUGGCGACGAAAGCUCUCCAGCCAGCACGUUCUCCGGCAAGUCACAGGACAUCUCAGUCUUAAGGCCUUCACCUGAUUGGACGAGGCCCACACACGGUGGAGGAUCACCUGCUUUAUUCAGAGUCUACUGAUCGUAGAGGUUCGUCAGCUGGUUGGAUAAGCAGAAGGAGACGAGAGAAGGUCGGACAGUCUGAUGAAGGCAGAAGGGAAGUUGGGCUUUUACCUCCAGCUUUGAUGGGUGCCGGUGAUUCCUUGGGAAGCCUGAGUUUCGAAGCCAGUGAUGGUGAUUUCCCCUCCCUUGGAAGGCUCUUUGGGAAGGGGUCGGUACAUCACCGUUAUUACCGUAAUAACAGGGAAUGUUCGCUUUGGCCCUUAGGAUGGAGUUCCUGAGUGUGGCUGGAAAUCGAGUCCCAGGCCAGAUGUCAGCAGAUGUACCUCUGCCAUCUUGCAGAAUUC